CGGGGCCCGGGGUGCGUAACGCGUAUGCAACUUGCCCUUAUCAGGAGGAUAGCCCGGGGAAACUCGGAUUAAUACUCCAUAAGAUUUUGAUUGGCAUCGAUUAAAAUUGAAAGAUUUAUUGGAUAAGGAUAGGCAUGCGUCAGAUUAGUUAGUUGGUAGUGUAACGGACUACCAAGGCGAUGAUCUGUAGGGGGCCUGAGAGGGUGAACCCCCACACUGGUACUGAGACACGGACCAGACUCCUACGGGAGGCAGCAGUGAGGAAUAUUGGACAAUGGAGGGAACUCUGAUCCAGCCAUCCCGCGUGCAGAAAGACGGCCCUAUGGGUUGUAAACUGCUUUUGUAUGAGGAUAAAUCUACCUAAGUGUAGGUAGUUGAAGGUACCAUACGAAUAAGCAUCGGCUAACUCCGUGCCAGCAGCCGCGGUAAUACGGAGGAUGCAAGCGUUAUCCGGAUUCAUUGGGUUUAAAGGGUCCGUAGGCGGGCUGAUAAGUCAGUGGUGAAAUUUUGUCGCUCAACGAUAAAACUGCCAUUGAUACUGUUAGUCUUGAGUGAUAUUGAAGUAGCUGGAAUGUGUAGUGUAGCGGUGAAAUGCAUAGAUAUUACACAGAACACCGAUUGCGAAGGCAGGUUACUAAGUAUUAACUGACGCUGAAGGACGAAAGCGUGGGGAGCGAACAGGAUUAGAUACCCUGGUAGUCCACGCAGUAAACGAUGCUA
RNAcentral lists this ribosomal RNA (720 nucleotides) under Ornithobacterium rhinotracheale. RNAcentral describes it as "bacterial SSU rRNA". It matches the Rfam family "Bacterial small subunit ribosomal RNA", at positions 94 to 814 of the family's 1533-position model. The record is from RNAcentral. Lineage: Bacteria; Pseudomonadati; Bacteroidota; Flavobacteriia; Flavobacteriales; Weeksellaceae.